AAUACGGGUGGCAGCAGUGGGGAAUAUUGGGCAAUGGGCGCAAGCCUGACCCAGCAACGCCGCGUGAAGGAAGAAGGCUUUCGGGUUGUAAACUUCUUUUCUCAGGGACGAAGCAAGUGACGGUACCUGAGGAAUAAGCCACGGCUAACUACGUGCCAGCAGCCGCGGCAAUACGUAGGUGGCAAGCGUUAUCCGGAUUUACUGGGUGUAAAGGGCGUGUAGGCGGGAAAGCAAGUCAGAUGUGAAAACCAUGGGCUCAACCUGUGGCCUGCAUUUGAAACUGUUUUUCUUGAGUACUGGAGAGGCAGACGGAAUUCCUAGUGUAGCGGUGAAAUGCGUAGAUAUUAGGAGGAACACCAGUGGCGAAGGCGGUCUGCUGGACAGCAACUGACGCUGAGGCGCGAAAGCGUGGGGAGCAAACAGGAUUAGAUACCCUGGUAGUA
RNAcentral lists this ribosomal RNA (443 nucleotides) under uncultured bacterium. RNAcentral describes it as "partial 16S ribosomal RNA". It matches the Rfam family "Bacterial small subunit ribosomal RNA", at positions 338 to 795 of the family's 1533-position model. The record is from RNAcentral.